UGCGAAUGGCUCAUUAAAUCAGUUAUCGUUUAUUUGAUAGUACCUUACUACUUGGAUAACCGUGGUAAUUCUAGAGCUAAUACAUGCUAAAAAUCCCGACUUCGGAAGGGAUGUAUUUAUUAGAUUAAAAACCAAUGCCCUUUGGGCUCACUGGUGAUUCAUGAUAACUUCUCGAAUCGCAUGGCCUUGCGCCGGCGAUGGUUCAUUCAAAUUUCUGCCCUAUCAACUUUCGACGGCUGGGUCUUGGCCAGCCAUGGUGACAACGGGUAACGGAGGGUUAGGGCUCGACCCCGGAGAAGGAGCCUGAGAAACGGCUACUACAUCCAAGGAAGGCAGCAGGCGCGCAAAUUACCCAAUCCCGACACGGGGAGGUAGUGACAAUACAUACUGAUACAGGGCUCUUUUGGGUCUUGUAAUUGGAAUGAGUACAAUUUAAAUCCCUUAACGAGGAACAAUUGGAGGGCAAGUCUGGUGCCAGCAGCCGCGGUAAUUCCAGCUCCAAUAGCGUAUAUUAAAGUUGUUGCGGUUAAAAAGCUCGUAGUUGAACCUUGGGCCUGGCUGGCCGGUCCGCCUCACCGCGUGCACUGGUACGGUCGGGCCUUUCCCUCUGGGGAACCGCAUGCCCUUCACUGGGUGUGUCGGGGAACCAGGACUUUUACUUUGAAAAAAUUAGAGUGUUCAAAGCAGGCUUAUGCUCGGAUACAUUAGCAUGGAAUAAUAGAAUAGGACGUGCGGUUCUAUUUUGUUGGUUUCUAGGACCGCCGUAAUGAUUAAUAGGGACAGUCGGGGGCAUCAGUAUUCAAUUGUCAGAGGUGAAAUUCUUGGAUUUAUUGAAGACUAACUACUGCGAAAGCAUUUGCCAAGGAUGUUUUCAUUAAUCAGGAACGAAAGUUAGGGGAUCGAAGACGA
Molecule: ribosomal RNA, 909 nt
Filed under: Conlarium sichuanense
Lineage: Eukaryota; Fungi; Ascomycota; Sordariomycetes; Conlariaceae
Description: SSU rRNA
Rfam family: Eukaryotic small subunit ribosomal RNA
Source: RNAcentral